UACGGAGGGGGUUAGCGUUGUUCGGAAUUACUGGGCGUAAAGCGCGCGUAGGCGGAUUAGAAAGUUGGGGGUGAAAUCCCGGGGCUCAACCCCGGAACUGCCUCCNAAACUACUAGUCUAGAGUUCGAGAGAGGUGAGUGGAAUUCCGAGUGUAGAGGUGAAAUUCGUAGAUAUUCGGAGGAACACCAGUGGCGAAGGCGGCUCACUGGCUCGAUACUGACGCUGAGGUGCGAAAGUGUGGGGAGCAAACAGG
RNAcentral lists this ribosomal RNA (253 nucleotides) under uncultured bacterium. RNAcentral describes it as "partial 16S ribosomal RNA". It matches the Rfam family "Bacterial small subunit ribosomal RNA", at positions 524 to 776 of the family's 1533-position model. The record is from RNAcentral.